AGUGAACGCUGGCGGUAGGCCUAACACAUGCAAGUCGAACGGCAGCACAGUAAGAGCUUGCUCUUACGGGUGGCGAGUGGCGGACGGGUGAGGAAUACAUCGGAAUCUACUUUUUCGUGGGGGAUAACGUAGGGAAACUUACGCUAAUACCGCAUACGACCUACGGGUUAAAGCAGGGGAUCUUCGGACCUUGCGCGAUUGAAUGAGCCGAUGUCGGAUUAGCUAGUUGGCGGGGUAAAGGCCCACCAAGGCGACGAUCCGUAGCUGGUCUGAGAGGAUGAUCAGCCACACUGGAACUGAGACACGGUCCAGACUCCUACGGGAGGCAGCAGUGGGGAAUAUUGGACAAUGGGCGCAAGCCUGAUCCAGCCAUACCGCGUGGGUGAAGAAGGCCUUCGGGUUGUAAAGCCCUUUUGUUGGGAAAGAAAAGCAGCAGGUUAAUACCCCGCUGUUCUGACGGUACCCAAAGAAUAAGCACCGGCUAACUUCGUG
This 492-nucleotide ribosomal RNA is filed under the name uncultured bacterium. Its description in RNAcentral is "partial 16S ribosomal RNA". It matches the Rfam family "Bacterial small subunit ribosomal RNA", at positions 29 to 507 of the family's 1533-position model. The record is from RNAcentral.